This 254-nucleotide ribosomal RNA is filed under the name uncultured bacterium. RNAcentral describes it as "partial 16S ribosomal RNA". It matches the Rfam family "Bacterial small subunit ribosomal RNA", at positions 15 to 263 of the family's 1533-position model. The record is from RNAcentral.
GAUCCUGGCUCAGGACGAACGCUGGCGGCGCGCCUAACACAUGCAAGUCGAACGAGCGAGAGAGAGUUUACUUUUUCGAGCGAGUGGCGAACGGGUGAGUAACGCGUGAGGAACCUGCCUCAAAGAGGGGGACAACAGUUGGAAACGACUGCUAAUACCGCAUAAGCCCACGACCCGGCAUCGGGUAGAGGGAAAAGGAGCAAUCCGCUUUGAGAUGGCCUCGCGUCCGAUUAGCUAGUUGGUGAGGUAACCGG